AGAGUUUGAUCAUGGCUCAGGAUGAACGCUAGCUACAGGCUUAACACAUGCAAGUCGAGGGGCAGCAGGGUCUGUGCUUGCACAGACCGCUGGCGACCGGCGCACGGGUGAGUAACACGUAUCCAACCUGCCAUGAACUCCGGGAUAGCCCUCUGAAAGGAGGAUUAAUACCGGAUGUGACCGCUGCGGGACAUCCCGCAGCGCUUAAAGAUUCAUCGGUUCAUGAUGGGGAUGCGUCUGAUUAGCUUGUUGGCGGGGUAACGGCCCACCAAGGCACCGAUCAGUAGGGGUUCUGAGAGGAAGGUCCCCCACAUAGGAACUGAGACACGGUCCUAACUCCUACGGGAGGCAGCAGUGAGGAAUAUUGGUCAAUGGGCGUAAGCCUGAACCAGCCAAGUAGCGUGAGGGACGACGGCCCUACGGGUUGUAAACCUCUUUUAUGCGGGAAUAACGGGAGUCACGUGUGACUUUGUGCAUGUACCGCAUGAAUAAGCAUCGGCUAAUUCCGUGCCAGCAGCCGCGGUAAUACGGAAGAUGCGAGCGUUAUCCGGAUUUAUUGGGUUUAAAGGGAGCGUAGGCGGGCGCUUAAGCCUGCGGUCAAAUGUCAGCGCCCAACGCUGGCCUGCCGUGGGAACUGGGUACCUUGAAUGUGCACAAGGAAGGUGGAAUUCGUGGUGUAGCGGUGAAAUGCUUAGAUAUCACGAAGAACUCCGAUUGCGAAGGCAGCCUUCUGGGGCAUGAUUGACGCUGAGGCUCGAAAGUGCGGGUAUCGAACAGGAUUAGAUACCCUGGUAGUCCGCACAGUAAACGAUGAGUGCCCGCUCUCGGCGGUAUAAUGUCGGGGGCCAAGCGAAAGCAUUAAGCACUCCACCUGGGGAGUACGCCGGCAACGGUGAAACUCAAAGGAAUUGACGGGGGCCCGCACAAGCGGAGGAACAUGUGGUUUAAUUCGAUGAUACGCGAGGAACCUUACCCGGGCUUGAACUGGACAUGCCGGGAGGCAGAGACGCCUCCUAUCCCGCAAGGGCAUGUUCGGAGGUGCUGCAUGGUUGUCGUCAGCUCGUGCCGUGAGGUGUCGGCUUAAGUGCCAUAACGAGCGCAACCCUUGUCACUAGUUACCAUCAGGUUAUGCUGGGGACUCUAGCGAGACUGCCACCGCAAGGUGAGAGGAAGGAGGGGAUGACGUCAAAUCAGCACGGCCCUUACGUCCGGGGCGACACACGUGUUACAAUGGUGACCACAGAGGGAAGCCACCCAGCGAUGGGGAGCGGAUCUCGAAAAGUCAUCUCAGUUCGGACUGGAGUCUGCAACCCGACUCCACGAAGUUGGAUUCGCUAGUAAUCGCGCAUCAGCCAUGGCGCGGUGAAUACGUUCCCGGGCCUUGUACACACCGCCCGUCAAGCCAUGAAAGCUGGGGGCGCCUGAAGUCCGCGACCGUAAGGAGCGGCCUAAGGCGAAACCGGUAAUUGGGGCUAAGUCGUAACAAGGUAGCC
This 1493-nucleotide ribosomal RNA is filed under the name uncultured rumen bacterium. RNAcentral's name for it is "bacterial SSU rRNA". It matches the Rfam family "Bacterial small subunit ribosomal RNA". The record is from RNAcentral.